Long non-coding RNA from Bombus pascuorum, 2799 nucleotides. RefSeq lists it as uncharacterized. Lineage: Eukaryota; Metazoa; Arthropoda; Insecta; Hymenoptera; Apidae. The record is from RefSeq and is a predicted model, not a curated record. The transcript is spliced from 2 exons.
AAAUUAUUAAGAUUCAGUACUCGGUUUUUAUUAUUGGAAAGAAUUAUUAUACUACGUAAGAAAUAAGAAUGAAAUGAGAAAAAGUUCCACGUAUUGCCGUAAUCUUCGUUAAGUCUGGCCCCUCGUUUUCUUCCUGGUUUUUGCCAUAACUCUUCGUACAUCUAUUGUAUAAACAAUUGUUUAAAAAGUUGACGUGUUUAGUCUUCCUUGAGUACGCUCGAAUGAAAGUGUGCCCAUGCGAGUUUCAUUUCAAACGAGUGAACUUGAUACGCGUUGUCUGGCCGUAACCGGUAUAAUCCACUUUGAGUGUAUUCUUUGCUCUACAAGCUUCUUAUUGCGUAAACCACGAACAUUUUUCUGCGAAUGGAGAUUGUUAAUGAUUCCAUUAUUACUCAUGGUUACAAAUAUUAGCUAUUUUUAUUUAUUUUUGUCUAUUUCGAAUUGAUUAUUACUUAGCUCGAAUUUUAAUCGAAGGUAUUAGAGUUUUCCAAAGAGAAUAAUUUCCAGAUUAACUGCUAUCAAUAUUUUAUGCAUGAUGAAUACCUAAUUGCAAUAUGAUACGUCUUUAAGCGAUACGGUCAUGCAUCAUUAAUGUUUUAAUGAAAGUACAAUUGAUAUUCCCAUCUGUCGCAUUCUGUAUGCUAAUGAGCUUAUACGGUGUCUUCGUAUAUCAUUAAUUCACGUUGAUAUUACUUUGUGUCUCGUUUCUACCUUUCAAAUUACGAUUUCCAGAGGGGGUCAAAAGCAAUACGUAUGAAAAAUUUAAAUAUCGUAGUUGCACGACAGUAUCGAUCGAUCCAAGCGAAAACCUAGCAACAAAUAUCGUUGUUACAAUAUAACAUGCGUAUUAAUAUAACGCACAUAUUGUUAUUCAAACUACGUGCGACGCAACAAACUAUACAACUUCACGAACCAAAUAGAAUUAAUCGAAGCCCUACGAGGAUUAGAAAAAGAUUCUAGCAAAAAUGCUGUUACUUGCAAAAAUAUCCAACGUUAGAACUGCUAAUAACUGAAGUAUCAAACUUGCAUUCAGCAAAUGAAAAAGACGUUUGGUAUAAGAAGAAAAAGAAUCUUUCAUCUAUAUAUUUUACAAAAAGAGUUGCUCGAGUAUCCAAAAAUGUGGCAAAUUUAUAAAAAUUUCCAUGGAAAAUUACUAAUUGGCUAAUUUUAGUCAUUGGUCAUUGUACUACUCUAAUGCUUGUAAUAUCAACUUUUUCUUUCGAUUUUUAUGUUUCAAGGCUCAUAUUUAAACAAACAGAAGAAAUUUUUCUUUCAAUAUUUCGCAAAUAAUCUCAACCAUACCAAAAGUUGAAAAACGAUACAUAAUUCUAUGCUGCAUAAAAUUUAAAAGACUUUGGAGGAAGAAAAGAAGAAAACUGGAUCGAGAAAGAUCCAAAGUACCACUAUAGUGGAAUUUAGAAAAGAAUAAUAAUAGAAUAGAAUGAUAAUUGUUUCGUAGAAGAGAAUAAUAAUUGCUCGAGGAAAUAAAAUGAACGAAAUUAUUUUACGCUCCGAAAAAGGUAAAUAAUCCAUGUGUUUAACGGAGAAAUCGAGGAAAAAUAAUGGCAGAGGGGGAAACCUAGAGAGUGUCCUAAUCUACCGCACGCGGAAUUAAUGUUAGGUCUAUUCUAAUAGUAAUCCUCCACGGCUUCCUCCGCAUAUGUUGCCUUGAUGUGCACGCGGAACUUUCCUCGUGCAAAUAAGGAGCUGGAGCGUAAGUUGUCACCCAUUACGCGAUACACACUGGCGCAUGAAAUUAUAUUGUUACGACCUUUCCUGAUGAACCUUUUUGUUCUGGAAAGGAAGUUGGUAUUUAGGGCGGUAGUACCACGAUAAAAUUGAUUAAGACGUAGAGAAAAUAUGGCUGAUUAAUUGUGACAGUUCUAUCGCUAUAGUCUUCUGAUUAGGUGUGGCUUUUAAAUGAAUUGAGACAAUAAAAUGGUAAAUAUAGAUUUUAGAAAUAAAUACUCUCAAUAAAUGCAAGAAAUGCAUUCUUGUUGCAUGAAAACUGUGGACUUUUGAUAUUUACCACGUUUGGAAUUAGUUAAAUUUAUUUAUUUCUUAACAUUAUAAUAUUGUAAUAAUAUUGUUCGUGCAAUAGAAUUGAUCGUCUAUCAAUUUGAUAAUAUUACUAGAUCGUAAAUAAUUGUAUAGGAAGACUCGGAAAGCAAACAAUUCCAUGAAAGAAACGUGAAAACAAUGAGAGUAUUGCAUAACUAGCAAUAAUCUUUGUUAUCUUAUCUAUUCGAUAAGAAAACAAAAGCUGUAUCGCAUAUAUUUCACAGACUUAAUACAGUUUCUAGAUCAAGGAUAAUUUCAUAUAUCUUUAUAUUAUCCUUCAAUAAAACCUACAACCCCUUUAUUUCCAAUUCCUUAUAAUUGCUAUCCACGCAAUUAACGCCCACAUCAAUCGUUUCCGUUACACGCUUCCUCGAUUCACACAGAUCCCGCUCAUCGUCCUUCGUCUGCCCAGACACUUACUCAUUCUACUAACAAACGAUCUGAACCCACGCAGUUCUAUUCUCAAUUUCAAUCUUCAAACAACUUCACUGUACUUUUUCCAUUUAUGUACAAUUCCUGCAAAAGGAACUUACAAGCACGUUUUAAUUGCCAACUUCAUCCAUUUAUCGUAAAUAAAAUAAACUAUUCCCUCUUCUUCGCUAAAAUAAAUUACUCUCUCUUUCUCCGCCAAAGAACAGUAAAAGAUUUUCAUUCUUCUGUCACUUAAAAUAAACGCCUUUUCGAUCAAAAAAAAAAAAAAAAAAAAAAAAAAAAAAAAAAGAAAGAAAAGAAAGAAAA